UACAGAGGUCCCAAGCGUUGUUCGGAUUUACUGGGCGUAAAGGGUGCGUAGGUGGCGGGGUAAGUCUGGUGUGAAAUCUCCGAGCUCAACUCGGAAAAGCAUUGGAAACUAUCCCGCUAGAGGGUCGGAGGGGAGACUGGAAUUCUCGGUGUAGCAGUGAAAUGCGUAGAUAUCGAGAGGAACACCAGUGGCGAAGGCGGGUUGCUGGGCUGACACUGACGCUGAGGCGCGAAAGCUAGGGGAGCAAACGGG
RNAcentral lists this ribosomal RNA (252 nucleotides) under uncultured bacterium. RNAcentral's name for it is "partial 16S ribosomal RNA". It matches the Rfam family "Bacterial small subunit ribosomal RNA", at positions 524 to 776 of the family's 1533-position model. The record is from RNAcentral.